GGGGCGAUGGCGUAGCUGGUUAUCGCAUCUGUCUAACAUGGCUUCUAUGUUCUGUAUGUUCACAGAAGGUCCUCAGUUCGAACCUGCGUCGACUCA
Molecule: non-coding RNA, 96 nt
Organism: Armillaria nabsnona
Lineage: Eukaryota; Fungi; Basidiomycota; Agaricomycetes; Agaricales; Physalacriaceae
Source: the annotation of a GenBank genome assembly